Molecule: transfer RNA, 63 nt
Filed under: Polysphaeria dischistocalyx
Lineage: Eukaryota; Viridiplantae; Streptophyta; Magnoliopsida; Gentianales; Rubiaceae
Description: partial tRNA-Leu
Source: RNAcentral
GCUACGGACUUAAAAAAUCCGUCGACUUUAAAAAUCGUGAGGGUUCAAGUCCCUCUAUCCCCA